CUGGCUCAGGAUGAACGCUAGCGGCAGGCUUAACACAUGCAAGUCGAGGGGCGAUCGGGGAGUAGCAAUACUCUGCCGGCGACCGGCGAAAGGGUGAGUAACGCGUGAGCAACAUGCCCGUAGGUGGAGGAUAGUCAUUGGAAACGAUGCGUAAUACUCCGUAACAACAGAGGCCGCAUGACCUUUGUUUAAUAGAUUCAUUGCCUACGGAUUGGCUCGCGUACCAUUAGGUAGUUGGUGAGGUAACGGCCCACCAAGCCGACGAUGGUUAGGGGUUCUGAGAGGAAGGUCCCCCACAUUGGAACUGAGACACGGUCCAGACUCCUACGGGAGGCAGCAGUGAGGAAUAUUGGUCAAUGGCCGGAAGGCUGAACCAGCCAUGCCGCGUGCGGGAGGACGGCCCCUAUGGGUUGUAAACCGCUUUUGUGUGGGAGCAAUAAGGCUCACGUGUGAGCUGAUGAGAGUACCAUACGAAUAAGCAUCGGCUAACUCCGUGCCAGCAGCCGC
This 507-nucleotide ribosomal RNA is filed under the name uncultured bacterium. RNAcentral describes it as "bacterial SSU rRNA". It matches the Rfam family "Bacterial small subunit ribosomal RNA", at positions 19 to 518 of the family's 1533-position model. The record is from RNAcentral.